Molecule: ribosomal RNA, 352 nt
Filed under: uncultured bacterium
Lineage: Bacteria
Description: bacterial SSU rRNA
Rfam family: Bacterial small subunit ribosomal RNA
Source: RNAcentral
AGAGUUUGAUCAUGGCUCAGGAUGAACGCUAGCUACAGGCUUAACACAUGCAAGUCGAGGGGAAACGACACCGAAAGCUUGCUUUUGAUGGGCGUCGACCGGCGCACGGGUGAGUAACGCGUAUCCAACCUGCCCACCACUUGGGGAUAACCUUGCGAAAGUAAGACUAAUACCCAAUGACGUCUCUAGAAGACAUCUGAAAGAGAUUAAAGAUUUAUCGGUGAUGGAUGGGGAUGCGUCUGAUUAGCUUGUUGGCGGGGUAACGGCCACAAGGCGACGAUCAGGUAGGGGUUCUGAGAGGAACGGUCCCCACAUUGGAACUGAGACACGGUCCAAACUCCGUACGGGAGCA